GGCAUGGCCCGCUGGCUCCCGCCGCGCUCAGCAGCCUCCUGACUGCUCUGCCCAAACGCGGGAGCGCAGAAACCGGUUCCUUCUGUCACCCGGUCUCCAUGGUUAUUUGGCACAUGGUCGUCUUUUUGGAGUUCUUUGCAAAAGCUGCGCCCAGCUGAUCUGCCCGUAUCUGCAGCAGUGUCCCUCCCACAGAGUUCCCCGGCCUGGCUGAUGCACCGGCAAGCCACAUCUGACAGAACCAGGUUACAAGACCAGCCCCAGUGACAUCUACCAGGGCUUUGCCAGCCCUUCCCCUCAUUCAUAAGGUA
This is a long non-coding RNA of Tupaia belangeri chinensis (Chinese tree shrew), 308 nucleotides long. RefSeq lists it as uncharacterized. The transcript has 3 exons. NCBI's taxonomy places the organism in Eukaryota, Metazoa, Chordata, Mammalia, Scandentia, Tupaiidae. The record is from RefSeq and is a predicted model, not a curated record.